UGGGCGCGCGUUUCGCCCUCACCCGCCCAAUUGUUGCCGCCUCGGCCCCCUCCCCCUUCCGGGUACCUGGAAACCUCGGGCCCGGGAGCCUAUUCCUGCCGGGGACGCGGGCCCGGGCGGCCGCGGGAAGCCAAGGCUCCUCUUGGCUGUGACAAUUUCUCAGACUUUCCUCAUUUUUGAUGACCUCGACAGUGUGGAGGAGUCCUGAUGACAACUUCAGUUCCAGAUAUCAUAUCUGUAUUUAAGGCAGAAGGAUGGAGAAAUGGACAACGGGUAAAGAAGAAAGGAGACUACUGUGGUGUCUGCUAUUUUAAAAAAAUGCUCAUGGACGUUGCCACGUUAUACUCUGCUAACAUUGUCCAGUAAUUGGCCACAUGGCCUCACCUUGUUGCAAGGGAUGCUGGAAACUGUAGCCUUUAUUCUGAAUAGCUGUGUGCUCAUCUGAAAACUGGAGUUUCCCAUGGGUGAAGAAAAGAAUAGAUACUGGGGGGUAACCAAUACUUUCUGUCUUAACACCUUAUUUAAUAUUGUUCUAGAGGUUUUCAUCAAAGCAAUAAAAUGGGAAAACAAAGGACUACAAAUAUUGGAAAGAAUUGGACACAAUUAUUUUUCUUUUCAGAAGAUAUAAUUAAAUGUCUCAAAAUCCACUGAAAAUCUUUUUAGAAAGGAAUAACAGAAUUCAGUAAAUGUGGGAAAUAUUCAAAAAAAUCCAGAGCUUUCUGAUUGAUAUCUUAACCUGUGAGAGACUGGAAAUGUAAUGAAAAAAAUAGGAAAAAAUAUAAUGCCUGUGGAUAAAUUUAGCAAGAAAUGUGUGAAAUUUAUAUGAAGAAAACCAUAACGUUGGCUGAGGAGCACAAAAGGAAGAUCCAGGUAAAUGAGGAAUCUUGGCAUGUUCCUGGAUGGGAUAACUCAGUGUUAUAAAGAUAGACAUUCUCUCCGAAUCUGUCAGUUUCAUACAAUUCUGUUGAAAAUACGUAUUUUUUAAUGUGUCAAGUGAAUGAUGAAAUUUACAUUAAAGAUUGAAAAUAGCAAGAAAACAGUAAAAGAACAAAGGGGCAUGUUCCCCAGGAGAUGUCAAAAUGUGCUGUAAAGCUGCGGUGAUUGAAAGUAUGAUCCCAGCUGAGGGAUUGUUAAUGGGACAGAGUAGAGUUUAGGAUAAAAAUAUAUGUACAGAUGAGAGCAUUGUAGUGUGUGACCUUGGACAAAGUCGUAAAUUCUCUGUAUUUCAAAUAGCUCAUCUGUAAAAUUAGGAUAAAGUGGUUCAUACUGCAUAGGGUUUCUGUAAGGGCAAUAUAUGUAUAAUAUUAAAGCAAAGCCUGGUUUGCUGUAAGCACUGUGAAAGCAUGAACUAUUAUGAAUGCAAGAAUUUAAUAUAUGAUAAAGGUGUUAUUAGGAUCAAAGGGGAAAGAAUCUAUUACUUAAUACAUGGUGUAGGAGUAAUUGACUUACAUUUGGAAAGAGAGAAAGAAGAAAGGAAGAAAUGACGAAAAGGAAGGAAGGAAGGAAGCUCAUUAGAAGUCUAGUUCACAUUCAUUGUAUAUUAAAUAGUAUAGAUGAAAUAUUUAAUUAUAAAAAUCCCCAUAAAAGUAUUAGAAAAAUGAGGAGGAAUUUCAA
This is a non-coding RNA of Vicugna pacos (alpaca), 1614 nucleotides long. NCBI's taxonomy places the organism in Eukaryota, Metazoa, Chordata, Mammalia, Artiodactyla, Camelidae. The record is from RefSeq and is a predicted model, not a curated record.